RNAcentral lists this long non-coding RNA (257 nucleotides) under Panax ginseng (ginseng). Its description in RNAcentral is "long non-coding RNA (PGIN_LNC005945)". The record is from RNAcentral. Lineage: Eukaryota; Viridiplantae; Streptophyta; Magnoliopsida; Apiales; Araliaceae.
GCGGAGGAGCCGCGGACUCCUCAUCUGUAGUGAGCGAAGGAUCGAGGUGUAUCAACAUAUCUCAGCAUCGGUGUCAACAAAGACAAUUGAUCGUCGAAGUAACACAAAAAUUCAUCGGUCUGAAGAUGAGACCAUUGGGGUUUGGUUUGAGAAAAAUGAUUGGGUUGAUUGAGAAGAUGGAAGAGUGGGGAAGGGAAAGGGAAAGGGAAAGGGAAAGGGAAAGGUAAAGAAACUGAAAGUGGAAGAAGAAGAAGAGG